GCUGGUGAUUUGUGCGAGGUGGUCCCACUCCUUCCCAUUCCGAACAGGGCAGUGAAACGCUUCAGCGCCGACAAUAGUUUCCGGGCAACUGGGUGCGAAAAUAGGUCAUUGCCAGCA
This 117-nucleotide ribosomal RNA is filed under the name Candidatus Curtissbacteria bacterium. The record is from RNAcentral. Lineage: Bacteria; Candidatus Curtissiibacteriota.